Long non-coding RNA from Rosa rugosa (rugosa rose), 2293 nucleotides. RefSeq lists it as uncharacterized. The record is from RefSeq and is a predicted model, not a curated record. Lineage: Eukaryota; Viridiplantae; Streptophyta; Magnoliopsida; Rosales; Rosaceae. The transcript is spliced from 4 exons.
GCUCCUAAUCAACUUCACGAACCUUCCUCCUCCAUUCUCCGCCGGAAUCUGAAGAGCCGAAAGCCCGACCUCGAUCUGAAAUUGAAGUAACAGCUUUGAAUCCUGAGCCGGCCUCGAUCUGAGAUUGGCAGAGUCGAAGAAAUUGAAGAGGCUCGCUCUGGUCUUCUCCGCCCUCUGCUCCACUCUCCUCCUCGGCCGAAUCCGUCGGCGAUAGGCUCUUCAUCUCACCUUUCCACUACUCCCGAUCUUACGCAACCACCCAAACAUUUCACCAAGACAAAAAAAAAAGGCCGCAAAAAGUGGUUCAUUCUACCUCCGUUCACUGCCACCGUAAACAGCGCCGCUUUGGGACGAGAGCUCUCAGAGAUGUGUAUAUUAAACCCUCCACCUCCUCAGCUACGAUGGCGCUUAAAUGGGUCACCAGGUGCUGCCCCGAGAUUCCCAGAAGCCUUGUUCAGAAGCUCUUUCGCUUAAGACAGGUUGAAGUCUUUUGAAGUUUCAUUACAUUUUGGAAAUGGGUUCUUGAAUGGUGAUUGGAAAGUGGUUUGCUUUGAUUAUUUAUCACAGGUUCGAAGAGAAGCAUCUGACAUGGAUCAAUGUGUUAAGGGUAUCUGAAAUUUGUAUUAACUUUUGUUUUGUUUUGUAAUGGACUAAUGGGUAGAGCUCAGAGCUUUUGUUGCAAUUAUAUGGGGUAGUUUUGUUUCUGAUUUCGAUUUUCGUGAAGGUGGGGGCUAAAGACUUGAUGAACUUAGAAGAUCGAAUAUGUCUUCCUAUUUCUGUGAAAGAGUUCCCUGAUGAUAAAUAAGAAGAGGGACAUUGUAGUGAAGAAGAAGUCAAGUUUAUUCGUAGCCUUGUGUUGUAUAAGGUUCAUAACUGUGGUCUCUGUCGCUUGUGUGCAUGUUAAGCUAGUUAUCUUGCUUACACAUGUUAUUUGCAAUUUUUUGUUUAUUAAUAUGCAGAUUCUGUUGUUCCUUGUCUAUUGAAAUUGCCGGCACUGUGUUAUAGAGUAAAUAAAGUGAGAUUCAUCUCUAUUUAUGUUUCAGUUUUACUUGGAUUUGGGUUUAGGAGCAGGAUGACAAGAAGGCCCCUGACUCUGCUGCUAAAGUCAAAGGCGAAUCAGCCAAGAAGGGAUAUGUUGGAAUUCACAUCUCAGGAUUCAGAGAUAUCCUUUUAAAGCCGGAGCUUGUACGCCCGAUUGUGGACUCAAUAUUUGAGCAUCCUUUUGAAGGUAUACUAUUGAAUUCAAUCUUCCCCGGCGACGGUAUGGCCCCGAGAUUGCCGAGUCCGUCAAACAGGUCCCUUUUUUAUCCUUAUUCACUAUAUGCUCUUCAAUUUCCCUUUACGACUGGUUUAUUUUGCAUCGGAGUUGUGGAUGAUUGUAUGUUUGUGUACGCAUCUGUGUAUAGUUUGCUAUAUACACUCACUCGCACUCAAUGAAACUCUGUCAGGUAAGGGUGAUGCCCAUUACUUAUAAAGAUUAGAUACAGAAAGCCAGAACUGUUACUAUCUCUAAACUGUUGGUACUCUUUUGAAUCUUUCUAGAACUGCAUUUCUCAUUGUAGUCACUGAAGUGUUAUACUCUUGCAUGCUUAUUGAAUGUAAUGCUUGUUGCAAGAGUUGCUUCAAUUUUAAAUCAAUGUUUGACGCCAAAUUCCAAAUUUCAAACCCCUUGAAUCAUUUUUUCAGCUUUUGUUUUUGUUUUGGGUUUUUUCUCUGCUAACUUUGACUGUCAACAGUGGGAUUUUGUUUGUUUUGGGUUUAUGGGUUUUGUUGGGUUGCUUUUGUUAUGAGCAAUGGGGGACUCAGGUGGAAAAGUGAGGUUGGUUCAGUGCCCAAAGUGUGAGAAUCUUCUUCCUGAGCUAGCUGAUUACUCUAUGUAUCAGUGUGGUGCUGUUCUUAGAGUACAAGGAUUACAGAUUGUGACUGGGAUUACAGAUGGAUGGAGUACCCAGCUCAUGCAAGAACUUCGAGACAUCCCUUGGAUCAGUCGUUGGCUACAUAUGGAGACCAUUCAGUCCUGCGCACUUUAAUUUGCUGUUAGUUUUCUCCAGCAUAUAGGUUAAGAUAUGGAAUAUUCAGGAAAAGAAAUGUACUGCAGUUCUGAUGGGGCACACUUAGUAUGAAAUCUUUGAGUUUGGCGUACCCAUGCAACUCUUUAUCUUGACUGAAAAUGUGACUAAUCUUUUAACUUGUUCAUAUGUUUCUACGCUAGCAUUUUUAGGUUUGCAGUUUUAUUUUGUGAAUUAUGUUGGAUCAUGAAUUUGGACAUAAUUAAUGGAAUGCCUCAAUUUUU